This 673-nucleotide ribosomal RNA is filed under the name Ganoderma sp. BAB-5179. Its description in RNAcentral is "eukaryotic LSU rRNA". The stretch from base 232 to 385 matches the Rfam family "5.8S ribosomal RNA". RNAcentral also lists the same sequence under 1 other name. Lineage: Eukaryota; Fungi; Basidiomycota; Agaricomycetes; Polyporales; Polyporaceae. The record is from RNAcentral.
UCCGUAGGUGAACCUGCGGAAGGAUCAUUAUCGAGUUUUGACUGGGUUGUAGCUGGCCUUCCGAGGCAUGUGCACGCCCUGCUCAUCCACUCUACACCUGUGCACUUACUGGGGGCUUCAGAUCGUAAAACGGGUCCCUUUACCGGGCUUGCGGAGCGUGUCUGUGCCUGCGUUUAUCACAAACUCUAUAAAGUAUCAAAAUGUGUAUUGCGAUGUAACGCAUCUAUAUACAACUUUCAGCAACGGAUCUCUUGGCUCUCGCAUCGAUGAAAAACGCAGCGAAAUGCGAUAAGUAAUGUGAAUUGCAAAAUUCAGUGAAUCAUCGAAUCUUUGAACGCACCUUGCGCUCCUUGGUAUUCCGAGGAGCAUGCCUGUUUGAGUGUCAUGAAAUCUUCAACCUGCAAGCUUUUGUGGUUUGUAGGCUUGGACUUGGAGGCUUGUCGGCCGUUCUUGGUCGGCUCCUCUUAAAUGCAUUAGCUUGGUUCCUUGCGGAUCGGCUCUCAGUGUGAUAAUGUCUACGCUGCGACCGUGAAGCGUUUGGCGAGCUUCUAACCGUCUCAGUUGGAGACAACUUUAUGACCUCUGACCUCAAAUCAGGUAGGACUACCCGCUGAACUUAAGCAUAUCAAUAAGCGGAGGAAAAGAAACUAACAAGGAUUCCCCUAGUAACUGC